This 305-nucleotide ribosomal RNA is filed under the name uncultured bacterium. RNAcentral's name for it is "partial 16S ribosomal RNA". It matches the Rfam family "Bacterial small subunit ribosomal RNA", at positions 508 to 807 of the family's 1533-position model. The record is from RNAcentral.
ACAGCAGUCGCCGCGGUAAAACGUAGGUGGCAAGCGUUGUCCGGAAUUAUUGGGCGUAAAGGGCUCGCAGGCGGUUUCUUAAGUCUGAUGUGAAAGCCCCCGGCUCAACCGGGGAGGGUCAUUGGAAACUGGGAAACUUGAGUGCAGAAGAGGAGAGUGGAAUUCCACGUGUAGCGGUGAAAUGCGUAGAGAUGUGGAGGAACACCAGUGGCGAAGGCGACUCUCUGGUCUGUAACUGACGCUGAGGAGCGAAAGCGUGGGGAGCGAACAGGAUUAGAGACCCCAGUAGUCCCUGUCUCUUAUAC